AGUGAACGCUGGCGGCGUGCUUAACACAUGCAAGUCGAACGAGAACGGAAUAUAGCUUGCUAUAUUUGUCAGCUAAGUGGCGCACGGGUGAGUAAUGUAUAGAUAACCUGCCCUUAAGAAAGGAAUAACAGUUGGAAACGACUGCUAAUGCCCUAUAUGCCUUUAAUACAUAAGUAUGCAAGGGAAACGCUUUAGUGCUUAAGGAUGGGUCUGUAUGGUAUCAGCUUGUUGGUGAGGUAAUGGCUCACCAAGGCUAUGACGCCUAACUGGUUUGAGAGGAUGAUCAGUCACACUGGAACUGAGACACGGUCCAGACUCCUACGGGAGGCAGCAGUGGGGAAUAUUGCACAAUGGACGAAAGUCUGAUGCAGCAACGCCGCGUGGAGGAUGACACAUUUCGGUGCGUAAACUCCUUUUAUAUAGGAAGAUAAUGACGGUACUAUAUGAAUAAGCACCGGCUAACUCCGUGCCAGCCGCCGUAACAC
Molecule: ribosomal RNA, 485 nt
Filed under: uncultured bacterium
Lineage: Bacteria
Description: partial 16S ribosomal RNA
Rfam family: Bacterial small subunit ribosomal RNA
Source: RNAcentral